AAGGGCCCAUGGACCCAGGCCGCUGCGUUCGCCCGCCACUUUGCAGUGAGAAAGGCUGAGGAAGGCCCAACUGCGGGGCCUCUCCUGCAAAGCGGGAAUUAAAAACCGGCUCCUUCGGUUCCGGCAGCACACGUGUAAAUGGCACCAGUCGGGGACCGCAGGGAGAGGGGCUUUACGGGGCUCCUGCCUUUGGGAGCAAGGACGGGGAACGGCCAGGGCCUGUCGCGUCCUCCUCCAGCCUCGUGGCCGUGCUGCUUCGCGGGCGCUUGGCCCGAGUGUGAAGAUUUACUGGAUGUCUGGAGAGGAAUGGUGCUACCUGCAGGUUAACAGCCGCCUCCACCAUGACAGAAGCAGCUGUGAGCACGAGGAAGCGGUCCAGGAAUCACCUUGAAAACGUCAGGAAAGAUUAAAUAUGAAAAGACAGUUUUGGCCACCUACUCCCUUUUUACUUCUAUAAAACAGCAUCACAGGGUUUUACCUCAGAAUGAUCUUCUUCUAGCUCUCAAAUAAAAGAUAAAUCAC
Molecule: long non-coding RNA, 522 nt
Organism: Dromaius novaehollandiae (emu)
Lineage: Eukaryota; Metazoa; Chordata; Aves; Casuariiformes; Dromaiidae
Exons: 2
Source: RefSeq, a predicted model, not a curated record